GAACUGCGAUAAGUAAUGUGAAUUGCAGAAUUCAGUGAAUCAUCGAGUCUUUGAACGCACAUUGCGCCCCCUGGCAUUCCCGGGGGCAUGCCUGUCCGAGCGUCAUUGCUGCCCUUCAAGCCCGGCUUGUGUGUUGGGUCGUCGUCCCCUCCGGGGGACGGGCCCGAAAGGCAGCGGCGGCACCGCGUCCGGUCCUCGAGCGUAUGGGGCUUUGUCACCCGCUCGAUAAGGACCGGCCGGGCGCCAGCCGGCGUCUCCAACCUUUUUUUCUCAGGUUGACCUCGGAUCAGGUAGGGAUACCCGCUGAACUUAAGC
Molecule: unclassified non-coding RNA, 315 nt
Filed under: plant metagenome
Description: partial contains 5.8S ribosomal RNA, internal transcribed spacer 2, and large subunit ribosomal RNA
Rfam family: 5.8S ribosomal RNA (bases 1-105)
Source: RNAcentral